This is a non-coding RNA of Pelobates cultripes (western spadefoot toad), 4056 nucleotides long. Lineage: Eukaryota; Metazoa; Chordata; Amphibia; Anura; Pelobatidae. The record is from the annotation of a GenBank genome assembly.
CAGAGUUCCUGUGAGCAAAACUGCACGCGUAGCACCAGCAGUGACUUUCAGGUGCAUAGAUGAAGAAGUCUCACUUCUCCGUACAAUGUUCUUUUAAAUUUUAGGAUGCCAGGUCCUUCGCCGCAAUGCUUUUUUUUUGCCAAAAUUGGCCUUUUUUUUUUGUAAAGGACAUUGAAUGAUAACACUAGAAGUCAGCUGACUGCUGUGUCACAGAGCUGCUGCUUUCUACAUUUUCACAACUGCAAGAGCUCUUUCUGCUGCAGUUUCGUAGUCGCAAUGCGGCAAUACAGACGCAUAGGACGGAAUACGGGACUAUGUUGUAUUUUUUCUGGGGUGUUACCAUUAUGUCGAAUUUGGAAUACAAGAAGGAUUGCCCUUUGUUGGAUAAGAGAGAGAAAGUAGCCUGGAUAUAAACGUUGACAUCGAACUUGCAGCGUUUUUUCAAUUCAACAAGCCCUGCUUAUAGACGUGAAUCCAAACUGCCUCCGAAGAACGAAGAAACAUCUGUUUUCUCACCUGGUAUAAUAAUAGCUCUCUGUGCCACGCUACUGUACCUGCAAAGAAUAGGACCCCUUAAGACAAAGGAUCUGUGCAUGCUAGAAUCUAUAUCUGGGGCCUUUGCAGCCACUCUGUAGAUGAAGCAUUCUCGUACGUCCUUGGCUUCAUAGAACACCGGGAAAAACAGAAGGAUGCAGUUUAUUCCUCAUAUGAGUAAGGCUGGCAAAAAAGAGAGAGGGAGAAAGAGAGCAAGAGGAAGAGAGAGAGAGAGACAGAAGCCAGACUUACUGACCUAAAUCAAUCCCAAUCCUUCUCUGGAUACAGGGCAGCAGCCGUCUAGCCGUGACACAAACAGCCAUCAAGUGGAGAAUUUCUAGGAUUGCAAUUCUUGUUGGUUGGAGCUACACUGAACGAAACACAUUACUAUGCGCUCAUAUUAUUUUUGUCUUUUUUUUUCUUCUGAUCUUUGUUUAUUUGCUGCAACCGUCUAUUUUUUCCCCCUGCUCUCUCUUGCAUUUCAGCUACAUUAAUUGUGCUUGAUCUAAGUGCACAUUCAUGUGGAUUAGUCUGUCUGUAAUGCAGUCCUUAUCUGCUCCUGCUGGAAACCAGGGCACUACUGUAAGUCAGCCUGCUUUAACAGUGGUUUUGCGUGAUGCUAUGCAGCCAGGAUGCCUUGUACACUGACAACAAAGGAGAAUACACAAAGCAUUACUUUAUCUGCUGGAUUUUUACAGGAGCAUAACUCUUCUUCGAUAUGACGCCCUCCUCCAUUUUCCUUCAUUUCUCUUUUUGUUUCUAAAUCAACAAAUCGAAGAAUCUAACAGAUAUGAUCAUGGAUAUGUGGUGUUUGUUUUUCGUUUGAUUUUAGGAAACAAAUGUAGCCUGUGGAGACUGCGAUUUUAAACUGCAACACAUUUUAGGUUAUUGCCAAUUUGAAAUACUUGGUUUGUUGAAGCUGAGCCCUAAGGGACAAGCUCAGUAACUGAGAGAGAGAUCGUAGAUAAGGAAAUAAAAAUGACAAGCGUAAUGGAGGGUCUGCAAAAAAGACUGUCAGAGAAUCAGUUCGUGGAUAGCAAUUUCUCCAGUAUGAGACUGAAUAAUUCAUACAUUGAAAUUACCCUGCUUUCACCUUUCCAUUUAAAGCGACAUGAUCUGAAUCUCUAAUAAAUUUUCAGGAUAACGUAAAAUGCCAAUUUGAAUCUGAAGUGCUUUUGAAACCAGAUGCUGAAAAUCCUGAAUCUUUCGAUAUCUUUCACAAUUAUCCGGUGAGAACUCCCCUUCUUCACGAAGCAGCUUUGCCAAGGAAAAUUACUGUGAUUACAAAGCAACAAUAGAAUACCAUGAAAUCAUGUCUAAUUUGCCUAAUUUUUUUUUUGAAGAUUGACAUUCCUGCUUGAUUAUUCACAUUAACACCAAGUCUGGCAAACCGGGAUCAAUAUUCUACAAAAACAAAAUAAAUGUACUCCGUAUUCAUAUUUUGUACUCAAACUAUGAAAAGUCGCACAUAACGUUGUUUGUGUUCUGAAUUGAAUGCGUCAUAAUGUAGCCAUAUUAACUAGCUUACUUGUUUAUUUGUCUGUUGUUUUCUGAGCAGAUGGGAAAAUGCGAAACAAUUGCUUUUGCUUUGUGUGCUCUCAUCAGAGGUAAUGAAGUUGGUUCAGAUUUUGGUUUAACGAAAUUGCUCUUCAGGUGAAUGCUGAUUGGAUUACGCUGGCCCAGACAAUAGUCUGUGCUGUGUAUCUCUGUUCUGCUGGUUUUCGUCAGGGUGCGAUGUGCACAUUUUCUGUUUUGGGUUUUGGUGUGAACUCAGGAAGCUACUUUUAUUAGCUGGUUUUAUCGUUUUUCCUUAUGAAUGUGUCCACCUGCUUUGGCAAUAAUAGAUCAGAUGGAUGAAAAGCUAACAAGUUCUUAAUUUGAUUAUCCUCUAUGAAUAAGAAUGAUAUUCUCCACCUAUGGAAUCAGCAAAUUGUCUGGAUACGUAAGUAUGCAAAAUAUGAACUACCUGGCUUUGAACUAGUUUGCAUUUUGUGAAUUGUCGAGCAGUUGCAGGGAAAAUCUGUCUGCUGUGUUCUUGAGUCACAAAAUACUUUCAAUUAUUAGAUCUUACGUUAUUAUCUCUAUACCCUCUGUAUCAGAGGCGAACAUAUUGUGUACAUAGAUAUCCUAGGAAAUAGACAAAUGUUAUAGACAGCGACAAGAGAACAAUAAGAAAUAUUUGUAACAAACAGAAAUAUAAUAAAUAUAUAACAGAACAUGUAAGUAGCUUUGGAUAAAAUUACUUAUAGCAAACGAUCAAACUGAAAUAUAAAGAGUAUGCUUGCAUCUUAUAGAAAAAGAAUUGUGAAAAUUCAAAAAUGUCAGUGUGUGUCAUUAUGUGUCUGUGUGUGCGAGUGUCUAUAAAUUGACUAUGUAUGCGCGCCUGUGUGUGUAUAUAUAUAUAUUAUACACACAUAUAUUUGUUCUUCAAUUAUUCUUACUUUUUUUUUUAUCUAUUAUUGCACAAUUGCCUAUAACAGUUAAUUUUCUUCUAUCGUGUGUCGCUGUACUCAAUACGUGUCUGCAAAGUACAAAAUAUGCAUUCAAGACAAGAGAUUUCAUAUUUAGAACAAGGCUCAUGAAUGAACAAAGAUCAUUUAUUUCCUAUAUUUUAAAAUGUGUCUCUCCGUCUUUGUAAAGUAUUUUUGGGGUAGAAAUGCACACUAUUUACAUAAUGAUAAUCACUUAUUUACAAAUAAUAUAACGGAUUGCUUUAUGCAGCAAUAUAUCACCAUCUUAAAGUGUUAAUACACUUAAAAUAUGAAUCUUUGAAGUGUUUCUGCAGAAACAUGAAAAUAAUCUCAGCUAUCUGUGUCUGUUAAUCCUUUCACUGCUGGCCCUGUUAGCAACCAACUGCAGUGUACUGUAGGCCCCACUUACAUGAAUAAAUGGUUAAUUCACAGAAGAGAAUAUGAACAUUAUGAUAUAAUGGCUAAUUGCAGAAGAACCAUGUCAACUAAAGUAUAUUUCUCUACGAUACAAAACUUCAGAGAAUGUAUAUAUCAAAAAUGGUGGCCAUUUCCUGUCGCAAGUCUGAUUUGCAUGACAAAAUAUGCAUCCAGAAAAUGUGGCUAAAAACGUCUAAACUCACUUGUAUUUCAGAAGGACAUUAUAAUGAAAAUGUUGAAAAGAUAAAAUAUUGAAGUUGACUUAGGAAUCAUUUGCCUUUUUUCCACAUAAUUGUUUAAUGACUUUGAGUUACUGUCAUCCAUUUUGAAAUGGUGAAUAGCUUUUUAUCAGUAAUGUUGUGUGAUUCAGGUUAUAAUGCAAGAUCUUGUAUCAGACACAUCGACAGAAUGUUACCUUUUUGGUUGUAUCAUGCAAUUUACAAAAUAGUCGUAGUGAUAUUCUGCGUUUUAAAACCAAUAGAUACAUUCUGCUAUGGAAAAGCUCUUAUUAUAAUGACUUUAAACGUACAGCCAAUAUAUUAUAUAAAAUAGUACAAGCAUAGAAUGUGUGCUUAUAUUUUCAGUUGGAUUAGUCUUUCAGCCCUGUCGCGUCUGUUAGAUAUCGUUUGCUGCC